RNAcentral lists this transfer RNA (69 nucleotides) under Bos taurus (domestic cattle). It matches the Rfam family "tRNA". Rfam says of the family: Transfer RNA (tRNA) molecules are approximately 80 nucleotides in length. Their secondary structure includes four short double-helical elements and three loops (D, anti-codon, and T loops). RNAcentral also lists the same sequence under 5 other names. Lineage: Eukaryota; Metazoa; Chordata; Mammalia; Artiodactyla; Bovidae. The record is from Rfam by way of RNAcentral.
UCCUGGGUGGUUCAGUGGAAGACUGUGCUCCCAAUGCAGAGGGCCCGGGUUCAAUUCCUGGUUGGGGAA